RNAcentral lists this ribosomal RNA (627 nucleotides) under uncultured soil bacterium. RNAcentral's name for it is "bacterial SSU rRNA". It matches the Rfam family "Bacterial small subunit ribosomal RNA", at positions 35 to 692 of the family's 1533-position model. The record is from RNAcentral.
GCUGGCGGCGCGCCUAACACAUGCAAGCCGCACGAGAAAGCGGGAGCAAUCUCGCAAGUAAAGUGGCGUACGGGUGAGUAACACGUGGAUCAUCUGCCCUGGAGUGGGGAAUAACGCUGGGAAACCGGCGCUAAUACCGCAUAUACCCGAGAGGGGAAAGCAGCAAUGCGCUCGAGGAGGAGUCCGCGGCCGAUUAGCUAGUUGGCAGGGUAAAAGCCUACCAAGGCUGUGAUCGGUAGCCGGCCUGAGAGGGCACACGGCCACACUGGCACUGAAACACGGGCCAGACUCCUACGGGAGGCAGCAGUGGGGAAUCUUGCACAAUGGGGGAAACCCUGAUGCAGCGACGCCGCGUGAGCGAUGAAGCCCUUCGGGGUGUAAAGCUCUUCCGGCAGGGAAGAUUAUGACGGUACCUGCAGAAGCAGCUGCGGCUAACUACGUGCCAGCAGCCGCGGUAAUACGUAGGCAGCAAGCGUUGCUCGGAGUUACUGGGCGUAAAGGGUGUGUAGGUGGCGCGCUAAGUUCCGUGUGAAAUCUCCCGGCUCAACCGGGAGGGUGCGCGGAAAACUGGCAGGCUAGAGUACGGGAUGGGAGAGUAGAAUUCCUGGUGUAGCGGUGAAAUGCGUA